This 207-nucleotide ribosomal RNA is filed under the name uncultured bacterium. RNAcentral describes it as "partial 16S ribosomal RNA". It matches the Rfam family "Bacterial small subunit ribosomal RNA", at positions 568 to 774 of the family's 1533-position model. The record is from RNAcentral.
CGCGUAGGCGGGUCGGCAAGUCCGGGGUGAAAGCCCCAGCUCAACUGGGGAAGGGCCUUGGAAACUGCCGGUCUCGAGGGAGGUAGGGGCCUGUGGAACUUCGGGUGGAGCGGUGAAAUGCGUUGAUAUCCGAAGGAACGCCGGUGGCGAAAGCGACGGGCUGGAUCUCUUCUGACGCUGAGGCGCGAAAGCUAGGGGUAGCGAACG